AGUAGGGAAUAUUGGACAAUGGGGGCAACCCUGAUCCAGCCAUGCCGCGUGAGUGAAGAAGGCCCUCGGGUUGUAAAGCUCUUUUGUCCGGAAAGAAAAGCUUCGGGUUAAUACCCCGGGGUUCUGACGGUACCGGAAGAAUAAGCACCGGCUAACUUCGUGCCAGCAGCCGCGGUAAUACGGAGGGUGCAAGCGUUACUCGGAAUUACUGGGCGUAAAGCGUGCGUAGGUGGUUGUUUAAGUCUGAUGUGAAAGCCCUGGGCUCAACCUGGGAAUGGCAUUGGAAACUGGGCAGCUAGAGUGCGGUAGAGGGUAGUGGAAUUCCCGGUGUAGCAGUGAAAUGCGUAGAGAUCGGGGGGAACAUCUGUGCCGAAGGCGACUGCCUGGACCAGCACUGACACUGAGGCACGAAAGCGUGGGGA
This 422-nucleotide ribosomal RNA is filed under the name uncultured bacterium. RNAcentral describes it as "bacterial SSU rRNA". It matches the Rfam family "Bacterial small subunit ribosomal RNA", at positions 353 to 767 of the family's 1533-position model. The record is from RNAcentral.